RNAcentral lists this ribosomal RNA (391 nucleotides) under uncultured beta proteobacterium. RNAcentral's name for it is "bacterial SSU rRNA". It matches the Rfam family "Bacterial small subunit ribosomal RNA", at positions 9 to 400 of the family's 1533-position model. The record is from RNAcentral. Lineage: Bacteria; Pseudomonadati; Pseudomonadota; Betaproteobacteria.
GAGUUUGAUCGUGGCUCAGAUUGAACGCUGGCGGCAUGCCUUACACAUGCAAGUCGAGCGGCAGCGCGGGGGCAACCCUGGCGGCGAGCGGCGAACGGGUGAGUAAGUGCAUCGGAACGUGUCCUCUUGUGGGGGAUAACCAGUCGAAAGACUGGCUAAUACCGCAUGAGAUCGAGAGAUGAAAGCAGGGGACCGCAAGGCCUUGCGCGAGAGGAGCGGCCGAUGCCGGAUUAGCUAGUUGGUGGGGUAAAAGCCUACCAAGGCGACGAUCCGUAGCUGGGUCUGAGAGGACGACCAGCCACACUGGGACUGAGACACGGCCCAGACUCCUACGGGAGGCAGCAGUGGGGAAUAUUGGACAAUGGGCGAAAGCCUGAUCCAGCCAUGCCGC